CGGACGGGUGAGUAAUGAAUAGGAAUCUGCCUAGUAGUGGGGGGACAACCUGGUGAAAACCAGGCUAAUACCGCAUACGCCCUACGGGGGAAAGUGGAGGAUCUUCGGACUUCACGCUAUUAGAUGAGCCUAUUCCUGAUUAGCUUGUUGGUAGGGUAAUGGCCUACCAAGGCAACGAUCAGUAGCUGGUCUGAGAGGACGAUCAGCCACACUAGGAUUGAGACACGGCCCAG
Molecule: ribosomal RNA, 233 nt
Filed under: uncultured bacterium
Lineage: Bacteria
Description: partial 16S ribosomal RNA
Rfam family: Bacterial small subunit ribosomal RNA
Source: RNAcentral